Molecule: small RNA, 132 nt
Filed under: Escherichia coli
Lineage: Bacteria; Pseudomonadati; Pseudomonadota; Gammaproteobacteria; Enterobacterales; Enterobacteriaceae
Description: RtT sRNA
Rfam family: RtT RNA
About the family: This family represents a bacterial cis-regulatory element known as RtT RNA.
Source: RNAcentral
AUUCUGCCCAUGCGGGAAAGGAUGAGAAGCUUCGACCAAGGUUCGACUCGAGCGCCAGCGAGAGAGCGUUGCCGCAGGCAACGACCCGAAGGACGAAGCGCGCAGCGCUGAGUAAUCCUUCCCCCACCACCA